GGAGCACAGGUGCUGCAUGGCUGUCGUCAGCUCGUGUCGUGAGAUGUUGGGUUAAGUCCCGCAACGAGCGCAACCCCCGUCCUUAGUUGCUACCAUUUAGUUGAGCACUCUAAGGAGACUGCCGGUGAUAAGCCGCGAGGAAGGUGGGGAUGACGUCAAGUCCUCAUGGCCCUUACGGGCUGGGCUACACACGUGCUACAAUGGCGGUGACAAUGGGAUGCUAAGGGGCGACCCUUCGCAAAUCUCAAAAAGCCGUCUCAGUUCGGAUUGGGCUCUGCAACUCGAGCCCAUGAAGUUGGAAUCGCUAGUAAUCGUGGAUCAGCACGCCACGGUGAAUACGUUCCCGGGCCUUGUACACACCGCCCGUCACACCAUGGGAGUUGGUUUUACCUGAAGACGGUGCGCUAACCGAAAGGGGGCAGCCGGC
RNAcentral lists this ribosomal RNA (427 nucleotides) under uncultured Alphaproteobacteria bacterium. RNAcentral describes it as "bacterial SSU rRNA". It matches the Rfam family "Bacterial small subunit ribosomal RNA", at positions 1029 to 1457 of the family's 1533-position model. The record is from RNAcentral. Lineage: Bacteria; Pseudomonadati; Pseudomonadota; Alphaproteobacteria.